Spodoptera frugiperda (fall armyworm) is the source of this 5401-nucleotide RNA transcript. It is a transcript of the gene named G-protein coupled receptor Mth, with no coding region annotated. Lineage: Eukaryota; Metazoa; Arthropoda; Insecta; Lepidoptera; Noctuidae. The record is from RefSeq and is a predicted model, not a curated record. The transcript has 10 exons.
UAUUUCUCUGUUCUAUGUGUGUUCUACAUAUUUUAAUCAGCAUCUGGUUUUCGUCGAACCAUCUAACAAACUUCUAGAGAAUAUUUUUGAAGAAAUAGUGACAAAAAGAAAUAAAAUAAAAACGACCCAAGAAUGUGGGCGCUAUUGACAUUGUUCGCCGUUAUCGGAAGAAUUGUGACACAGUCGGCGCCAUGUGAUUUGGUUAGUAGUGUAGAAUUAAAGAAUAGAACAUAUAAUGGCGUGCGUUACAAAGAAGGAGAGUUUUUCUAUGACAAUGUGACGAACACAGAAAGGGGUUGUAUUUGCAUGAAAGAGAUCUGUGUACGCAAAUGCUGUGACCGUGGCUUCGUUUACAACGACACCGAAAAUGUUUACGAAUGUCAACCAGAGUCACAACCCAAUGAGUUUAAUCGCCAUCUAGAAGUAUACCAAGGGUCUAGUUACCUCGCAUCACGAGGAGCAUUCGAACCUACGAAACACUUUCGUUUUAUAUACGGCAAAAUGGAUUGUGACCGUAUACCAAAUAGUGUGAUAGUCGGUCUAAAGGCAAGGAACCUCCCCCGAUUGUUUACGGAUGGUAAGCUGUAUGUGAAAAUCGAGACUUCUGUCAAGGUGUUGAUUUAUGAAGCAGACAAGUACUGCAUCGACACGUUCGUCUCGGACACCGAGGGACCACACCUCAAUGCGCUCAUCUGCUUCGUAGCGACGCCCGAACGCAACAAUUAUACUAUGAGCAGUAGUUGUAUGCUGAUAUCCUGUUUCUUCAUUCUCCUGACGGUAGCAGUAUACGCAUGGCUGCCAGAACUGAGGAACCUUCAUGGCAUGGUGCUGAUGGCAUACUUACUCUGUUUCUUCGUCGGUUUCCUGUUCCUAGCCACCAUGCAGAUCCUCAUCCUAAAGCUACAGAUAACUGAAGAAAUCUGUAUUGUAUUAACUUUCAUCGUGUACUUCUCCCUUCUGGCAGCGUUCUUCUGGUUAAACGUGAUGUGCUACGACAUCUGGUGGACGUUCAGUGGCAAACGAGCUCAUGGCCGUAGUGGUACACAAAACAAGAGGUUUUUGUGUUAUGCCAUCUACGCGUUUGGAGUGCCCACGAUCCUGACCAUCAAUUUGGCAGCUCUCGAAUUCUCCAACAUUCCUUUGCAUCCUCUAUUGCCUAAACUUAGGUUACAAGGCUGUUUCUUAUACGGAAACAGCAAAUUACUGUAUUUGUAUGGACCAAUUGUGAUCCUCUGUGUGGCAAACCUGAUAUUCUUCACGCUGACUGCCUUCAAAAUAGCAAAAAUUAAAAGAGAAACCAAAAUGCUACGAGACAAGGAGAGCUCCACACAUGACCAAGACAGAAAGGACACCCAAAGUUUGAAAUUAAAAUGUUCCAGGUUCACUCUCUACGUCAAGUUGUUCACUGUCAUGGGCAUCAACUGGAUCUUGGAGGUGGUCAGCUCCUUCUACCCCGAGGCUGACUGGUACUGGCAGUUCUCUGACGCUUACAACGUGCUCGUCGGUCUAAUCAUCUUCAUUAUCUUCGUCUGUAAGAAGAAGACUUGGCGAAUGAUCAAGAAGAGGAUCAAAAAUUAUCAACGUUCCAAAACUACCAACGUUCCAAAUAACACACAGAGAGACAGUAGAGAGAUAAAUGCCAACAACAGACAACUAGCCCAAUGGAGAUCUCAACCAGAGAGAACAUCUAGUUUGGAAACCGUUAGAACAACGGAUGGAGAAAGAAGUUUAAGAAGCAACAAAUCUGUUAAUGUAAAUCCUCAAUAGUCAAGUCAACGAAGUAGAAACUCCUGCACUGACAGCACCAAACAAUUAUACAAAAGAUAAUAAGCAAAAGCAGAAGUUAUGAUAAAUUAAAUUGACAAUACUAUAAUUAAUAGAAACAGCAACAGAGGCUGGAGUCCAAGGCUCAACGCUACACAGGAACAAGACUGGAAACAAUAUUAACAAAGACGUUAAACAAAUUAAUCUUAAGGCAGAAAUGGAAUGUUUGGAAUAUAGUACGAGUGAAAAGAUACAGACAAUUGCGGGGCGAUACUUCAAAGUCUGGGACGCAGACCACGGUAUCCUCUACUCGGACACAUUCCACAUCACGCGAUGAUAUGCAGAUGCACUCUAUUAAGAAGUAAAUAAGUUUCAAAAUCCAAGAGUCAUUUGAAAGUUAAAAGCGCAUGUGAAACAGAAACGCUAUCGUCAUAAUGAAAAAAGACGUAAUUGUACUUCAGAAUUCACUAUCGUAUAAUAAAUAAGGUCUACCCCAUAUUUGAAGGUCGCUUAGAGGUUUAUCUUCCAAAAUAUAUUCAACAAACUUUACCGGAUGAUAAAAAUUACAAAAUGUCAUAUAACAUUAUGGGACAACCGAUAAAAAUAUUUUCAAACAAAAAAAAAAUAAAACGCUUUAAAAAAAAUCGAAGUUUUAAAAUAUUAGUUGCGUCUUUAUUCUUUAUGGCGGCAGUACCUAUGUGCAAUUGUGCAUAGUGACAAGAAAUUUUAAAAUUUUAUAUGUUCAAUUGUCCACUAUGCUUCUGAUAUUGCAAUUUUUGUCAAUAUGUAAACACUACCUAUAAACAUAAUCAUAGUUAAGUUAAAUGAGAGCUGUAAUCAAACCUACUAUAAUUUUAGUCAACUCAUUCUAAUAUAUGGGAGAUAGGAGAUAUCUCACUUACAAUGUGUCGGUGAAAGUGAGAUUCUCCUACUGAGACUAUUACUUACUUACCUCUGGGAUAUGGGCAAUAAUAUGACGGUAGCAAAACAAUAGAUUGUUCGUAUGAUGAUUGUACGAAUAAAAUUACUGUAUAUUUCGUAAAUUGCACUGUUACUUUAAUUAAGCUACUACACUGAGAAGAAAUGCCGAAACGAACUUAGAGGUCUCAGUCGCUUUCAAAGUGCAAACAUGGUUAACGAAGUACUUCUAAGAUAAUUCACUAUUACUAUGUCAAACUCAAUAUCAAUUUUGCAACACAAACGCCCGAAUACUGAAAGGCUACUCUAUUUUAAGUUGUACUUAAAUAUCGUGCUAACUUUGUCAUAUUAUAAAGAAUUGAUAGGGACAGAACUAGUUUUGAGAGCGACUUAAAAUUGAGUAACGUUUGAGUAUUCGGAGAUGAUUCUAAUAAUUGCAAUCACUGAAGGCUAAUCAACUAACAACAUUCCCAGUAAGGAGUGGCUCGGUCGGAGUCCAAGUUCAGAGUAUCUCCCAGUGGAGCAACAUUGAAUCGACAACCGCAAUCUCCUCCCUUCGACGAACGUGACGUCACACGGAACCGUCAAAGCGCGACACCUUCCCGUUCUCUAAUCACUUGAGUCACAAUGACCCUUCUUACAUUAUUAUAGGUACACAAAUAAAAUAAUAUCUAGGAUUAAAUGAAAAAUCCAGAUCCUAAGUAUGAUCAUUAAAACUUAAUACGGGAUAUUUACAAUGUUUUCUAUAUCGGAAACUCAUAAUAACUAAUAAACAUGGUAAAUAUCCCGUUUUAAGUUCUAAUGAUAUUACUAGUGACCAUGUCAGUUUAAAAAAACCCUAAGUAUUGUUAAAAAAACACAAAAGGAAACUGUUUGUCCUCGCACCCUGUAUGUGAAAUGCUUGGCUCUCUGUUUCACGAACGCCUAAAGAUCGGUUAAAACAAUGAGUGUAAUCUUGUCUAUAAAAUACUUUUUAUGUAAAAGUACCGUAGCUCUCUCAAGAGUUAAGAAAAUUAACAAAAUGUGCCUAAAACUUGCCUUGACAUAAUGUUUUUUCUUGUUUUUGCGUUUGUUCAAUUAAAUUUUGUCACGAAAAUUUUGUUUUUGUUAAAAAAGUAAAGUAAACCUUGGCAAGAUAAAGAGAACUGAACGUUCUGUUCAAACAUAGUUUUUGACGUUAAUUAUUUUUAUCAUAAAUUAAUAUAACAUUGUUAUUGAAAUUGCUAAAUCGGAACUUUUUCAACGUUUUCAAUUAUACUGAUAUUUGACAUUCAAAUGCUAUGUUUAAUUAAUGUAUAAAUAUCAAGCACAUUAUGUACUGCAUGUGUUUUACACCUCAAUGUAUUUAAAUGAAGAGCUUAAUAAAAAAAAUUAUAUGAUAGCUUUAUUAUAACUUUCGUGAGACAUACUAAAUUAAUUAAUAAUAUAAUCAGCUUACUCACGUAACUGUUUGACGAGGAACCCGACUAGUUUCAAACCAUUCCGUAACAAUCGCAGCACGACAAUCGCCGCGUCGUAUCCUCAUCAAACAGCUACGUGAGUAAACCGAUAAAAUAAUAAUUAAUUCAUAUGAUAGCAUUUAUUAGUUAUAAAAUUUCGUAAUAAUAAUGCCAUAAUUGUUAUUAUUAUUUUUAGUCAAAUAAAUUUAAUGUAAGUUUAUGAAAAAUAUUUAUGCUGUGGUCGUUGCAGACUCCCACCUUUUUGAACUAGUACUUAUCUAAAAAUCUGUUUACGGUAAUAAUACAGACAACAUUUAGUUUCUUUUUGCAAUAAAUUUUUGUUAAACUUAUUUUAGUGCCUGUUUAUAUAGAUAUGUACCCCUCUAAACUUACGCGACAGAUAGUUUAUGCAAAUUACGUUUUAAUUCAAAUUUAUCUUAUACACAGCAGCAUGCCACACAUCGUGUAACGGGCCUUUAGUGGGUUUAGAAACACCUAUAUCAGUAAACAUUUCUUUUUUUCCAUUCAAUAAUUUUCGAAAAUAUUUUCCUAUAUAUAAAUCACUGUUCUAUACAUACUAUAUAUAAGUAUACUUGUUUUAAUAUUUUUUCUUGUAAUUUGAGAAAUCUAUGAAAUGUUUUGACAUAACAAACUCUUGUUUUGUUAUAUGUGUAGUAUACAAUAGGAAUUUUAUAAUAUACAUAAACAUUUCUACUGUCAUGAUGUUUUCAUUUAAAAAAAGUGUAACAAAUAAUGUGUUACAAUAAAAAUAAUUUAACCACUCGUUGGUUAUGUAUAUGAUCUCAAACAGAUGGCUGCUAAGCUGCUAAAUAAAGCACCUACGUUGUAAUUUGAAACUUAUGAACAAUACAAGCUUAAAACGAUUUUCAAUUCUAUUAUCUUAUUAUUAGAAUGAUAUUUUGAAUGAAACAGCAUUUGAUAUAAGUUUCAAAUUAAUCACCGUACAGGUGCAAUUUGAAGAACAGAGACACUAUUUAAUGAUUUUAUUACAAAGUAUUAAAACAUAAUGUAAUCAAAGACAUUUUUUUAAACAGAUAUAUUUCGAGUACUGUUAUUUCUAUUUUAGAGGUAGCUAUAAAGCUAAUAGGAUUAUAUUAUCUAAGAAAAGUCAAAACAUAUUUAAACACAAUUUUUGUCUUGUUUCGUAUUAAGAUGCAAUAUAAUUAUUUAGUGCGUACAUACAUAAUGUAGGUAGGUUUAUCACAAAAGCAAAUAUAGAAGAACAAAUAUUACUGACUAAUAAAUGUAUUUUGUGAAAA